Molecule: long non-coding RNA, 427 nt
Filed under: Nicotiana benthamiana
Lineage: Eukaryota; Viridiplantae; Streptophyta; Magnoliopsida; Solanales; Solanaceae
Description: long non-coding RNA (NBEN_LNC020085)
Source: RNAcentral
UUUAAGAAAGAAGAGUAGCAACACUAUUUAUAGGAGAAAUUGAACUUGCAAGAAACAAAGGCAAAGGCAAAUUGCCAACUUGAAAGAGAUCUCCGCCACUUAUCCAAACUUGGUGGCGAAGAAUAAUUCUCUACCAAGCACAUCUUUCUUAUAGGCACUGCCUAUUUGCCAACUAAGAAUGGGUUGGAUUUUACAAUAAACAAAAAAAUUACCCUUUUCUUGUAAAGCCAAUUAGGCCAUAAUAUAAAUCUCCAGCUUGGCCUAACUUUGGCUAAUAUAGUAAAUUUGCUCCACCUUAUCCACAAAAGCCCGAAUGGCCAAAAUCAUUCUUCAUAAAUGACAAUCAAGUUCACACAAAGCUUGAACUUGACAACUGGAAGAGGCUUCAAGAACAUGUCAGCAGGAUUGUCUUUAGUGUUGAUCUUCU